This is a long non-coding RNA of Carassius carassius (crucian carp), 238 nucleotides long. RefSeq lists it as uncharacterized. NCBI's taxonomy places the organism in Eukaryota, Metazoa, Chordata, Actinopteri, Cypriniformes, Cyprinidae. The record is from RefSeq and is a predicted model, not a curated record. The transcript has 3 exons.
UCCAGAGUCCAGACUCGACAGAAAACGCAGUUAGAGGAAACUUCCACCCAAGCAGACGUUGAGGCCCAGAUUUCCCUGCCAAGCACUCUUAAGACUCAUCAUGCUCGGAGAGUCCAUUCUGGGGGCAAAUAGGUGGAUGCUUUCCAUCGAGGGCAGAGAUCUCCAACCAAAUCCAACUGAGUGACCGUUCCGAAUUCACUUCUGCUCUGGCUGUGCUUUUUGCAUCAUACUAUAUAUU